This is a small nuclear RNA of Zalophus californianus (California sea lion), 106 nucleotides long. The record is from Ensembl. NCBI's taxonomy places the organism in Eukaryota, Metazoa, Chordata, Mammalia, Carnivora, Otariidae.
GGUUGCUACAGCAGCCCAUAUACUAAAAUUGGAACAGCACAGAGAAGAUAAACGUGGCCCCUUGCACCAAGAUAAUGUGCAAAUUUGUAAAGCAUUCCAUAAUAAA